Molecule: ribosomal RNA, 402 nt
Filed under: uncultured bacterium
Lineage: Bacteria
Description: bacterial SSU rRNA
Rfam family: Bacterial small subunit ribosomal RNA
Source: RNAcentral
UGGGGAAUAUUGGACAAUGGGGGAAACCCUGAUCCAGCAAUGCCGCGUGAGUGAAGAAGGCCUUAGGGUUGUAAAGCUCUUUCGCCCGCGAAGAUAAUGACGGUAGCGGGAGAAGAAGCCCCGGCUAACUCCGUGCCAGCAGCCGCGGUAAUACGUAGGGUGCGAGCGUUAAUCGGAAUUACUGGGCGUAAAGCGUGCGCAGGCGGUUUUGUAAGACAGAUGUGAAAUCCCCGGGCUUAACCUGGGAACUGCGUUUGUGACUGCAAGGCUGGAGUACGGCAGAGGGAGGUGGAAUUCCACGUGUAGCAGUGAAAUGCGUAGAGAUGUGGAGGAACACCGAUGGCGAAGGCAGCCCCCUGGGCCUGUACUGACGCUCAUGCACGAAAGCGUGGGGAGCAAACA